RNAcentral lists this ribosomal RNA (949 nucleotides) under Pyrinomonadaceae bacterium. RNAcentral's name for it is "bacterial SSU rRNA". It matches the Rfam family "Bacterial small subunit ribosomal RNA", at positions 1 to 960 of the family's 1533-position model. Lineage: Bacteria; Pseudomonadati; Acidobacteriota; Blastocatellia; Blastocatellales; Pyrinomonadaceae. The record is from RNAcentral.
ACUAACGAGAGUUUGAUCCUGGCUCAGAAUCAACGCUGGCGGCGUGCCUCAGACAUGCAAGUCGAACGAUUAAAGCUCUCUUCGGAGAGUGCAUAGAGUGGCGCACGGGUGAGUAACACGUAAGUAAUCUACCUUCGAGUGGGGAAUAACAGUCGGAAACGGCUGCUAAUACCGCAUAAUGCAGCGGCACCUAAUGGUGACAGUUGUUAAAGGAGCAAUCCGCUUGAAGAGGAGCUUGCGGCAGAUUAGCUAGUUGGUAAGGUAAUGGCUUACCAAGGCUUCGAUCUGUAACCGGUCUAAGAGGACGGUCGGUCACACUGACACUGAAUAACGGGUCAGACUCCUACGGGAGGCAGCAGUCGGGAAUUUUGGGCAAUGGGCGAAAGCCUGACCCAGCAACGCCGCGUGAAGGAUGAAGUAUUUCGGUAUGUAAACUUCGAAAGAAUGGGAAGAAUCAAUGACGGUACCAUUUAUAAGGUCCGGCUAACUACGUGCCAGCAGCCGCGGUAAUACGUAGGGACCAAGCGUUGUUCGGAUUUACUGGGCGUAAAGGGCGCGUAGGCGGCUUGUCAAGUCACUUGUGAAAUCUCCGGGCUUAACCCGGAACGGCCAAGUGAAACUGACAUGCUAGAGUGCAGAAGGGGCAAUCGGAAUUCUCGGUGUAGCGGUGAAAUGCGUAGAUAUCGAGAGGAACACCUGAGGUGAAGACGGGUUGCUGGGCUGACACUGACGCUGAGGCGCGAAAGCCAGGGGAGCAAACGGGAUUAGAUACCCCGGUAGUCCUGGCCCUAAACGAUGAAUACUUGGUGUCUGGAGUUAUUAGUGCUCCGGGUGCCGUCGCUAACGUUUUUAGUAUUCCGCCUGGGGAGUACGCUCGCAAGAGUGAAACUCAAAGGAAUUGACGGGGACCCGCACAAGCGGUGGAGCAUGUGGUUUAAUUCGACGCAAC